Molecule: ribosomal RNA, 821 nt
Filed under: Verrucosispora sp. 41799
Lineage: Bacteria; Bacillati; Actinomycetota; Actinomycetes; Micromonosporales; Micromonosporaceae
Description: bacterial SSU rRNA
Rfam family: Bacterial small subunit ribosomal RNA
Source: RNAcentral
CGGGGUACACGAGCGGCGAACGGGUGAGUAACACGUGAGCAACCUGCCCCCGACUCCGGGAUAAGCGGUGGAAACGCCGUCUAAUACCGGAUACGACCGGCCACCUCAUGGUAGCCGGUGGAAAGUUUUUCGGUUGGGGAUGGGCUCGCGGCCUAUCAGCUUGUUGGUGGGGUAAAGGCCUACCAAGGCGAUUACGGGUAGCCGGCCUGAGAGGGCGACCGGCCACACUGGGACUGAGACACGGCCCAGACUCCUGCGGGAGGCAGCAGUGGGGAAUAUUGCGCAAUGGGCGAAAGCCUGACGCAGCGACGCCGCGUGGGGGAUGACGGCCUUCGGGUUGUAAACCUCUUUUACCACCAACGCAGGCUCCCAGUUCUCUGGGGGUUGACGGUAGGUGGGGAAUAAGGACCGGCUAACUACGUGCCAGCAGCCGCGGUAAUACGUAGGGUCCGAGCGUUGUCCGGAAUUAUUGGGCGUAAAGAGCUCGUAGGCGGCGUGUCGCGUCUGCUGUGAAAGACCGGGGCUUAACUCCGGUUCUGCAGUGGAUACGGGCAUGCUAGAGGUAGGUAGGGGAGACUGGAAUUCCUGGUGUAGCGGUGAAAUGCGCAGAUAUCAGGAGGAACACCGGUGGCGAAGGCGGGUCUCUGGGCCUUACCUGACGCUGAGGAGCGAAAGCAUGGGGAGCGAACAGGAUUAGAUACCCUGGUAGUCCAUGCCGUAAACGUUGGGCGCUAGGUGUGGGGACUUUCCACGGUUUCCGCGCCGUAGCUAACGCAUUAAGCGCCCCGCCUGGGGAGUACGGCCGCAAGGCUAAAACUCAA